Molecule: long non-coding RNA, 491 nt
Filed under: Mytilus galloprovincialis (Mediterranean mussel)
Lineage: Eukaryota; Metazoa; Mollusca; Bivalvia; Mytilida; Mytilidae
Source: RNAcentral
GUUCGAGCAGUUAGCAGCAAAUGCAGGUUAGGGAGACAGGUCUGUAAUUGCUGGCUAGGUAUUUUUCGCCUUUUUUAAAAAUAGGGAUCACAUUUGCCUGUCUCCAGUCUGUUGGUACAUCUCCUUUCAAGAAAGAUGUGUUAAAAAUGAAAGCGAGAUGUGGUGCAAAUUCUGGUGCAAAUUGUUUAAGAAUUCGUGCUGGUAUUUCGUCUGGACCUGUAGCUUUAGAUGGAUCAAGAUUUUUCAAAAGUUUUUCUAUGCCAUUUGGUGUUACAUGUAUUUCUGCCAUAGAUGGAUAGUUGUCGGAUAGAGUUGGUAUUUGUUCUUUAUCAUUUUCAGGUGUAAAAACAGAGUGGUAUUGUUUAUUGAGUAUUUCAGCUUUUUGUUUUGUGUCGUCUAUCAGCAUACCUUCAGAUCUUAAUGGUGCAACUCCUGAACUGUCUUUUUUGGUGGACCUGAUAUAAUUCCAAAAUUUUUUCUGUUUUUGCGAG